AUCGCUUCUUGGCUUUUUGGCUAAGAUCAAGUGUAGUAUCUGUUCUUAUCAGUUUAAUAUCUGAUACGUCCUCUAUCCAAGGACAAUAUAUUAAAUGGAUUUUUGGAGCAGGAGAUAUGGAAUAGGAGCUUGCUCCGUCCACUCCACGCAUCGACCUGGUAUUGCAGUACUUCCAGGAACGAAAAGAAA
RNAcentral lists this small nuclear RNA (189 nucleotides) under Echinops telfairi (small Madagascar hedgehog). RNAcentral's name for it is "U2 spliceosomal RNA (ENSETEG00000021899.1)". It matches the Rfam family "U2 spliceosomal RNA". From Rfam's summary of the family: U2 is a small nuclear RNA (snRNA) component of the spliceosome (involved in pre-mRNA splicing). Complementary binding between U2 snRNA (in an area lying towards the 5' end but 3' to hairpin I) and the branchpoint sequence (BPS) of the intron results the bulging out of an unpaired adenosine, on the BPS, which initiates a nucleophilic attack at the intronic 5' splice site, thus starting the first of two transesterification reactions that mediate splicing. Lineage: Eukaryota; Metazoa; Chordata; Mammalia; Afrosoricida; Tenrecidae. The record is from RNAcentral.